Molecule: ribosomal RNA, 388 nt
Filed under: uncultured bacterium
Lineage: Bacteria
Description: bacterial SSU rRNA
Rfam family: Bacterial small subunit ribosomal RNA
Source: RNAcentral
AUUGAACGCUGGCGGCAUGCCUUACACAUGCAAGUCGAACGGCAGCGGACCUUCGGGUGCCGGCGAGUGGCGAACGGGUGAGUAAUAUAUCGGAACGUACCUUUCAGUGGGGGAUAACGUAGCGAAAGUUACGCUAAUACCGCAUAUUCUGUGAGCAGGAAAGCAGGGGAUCGCAAGACCUUGCGCUGAUUGAGCGGCUGAUAUCAGAUUAGCUAGUUGGUGAGGUAAAGGCUCACCAAGGCGACGAUCUGUAGCGGGUCUGAGAGGAUGAUCCGCCACACUGGAACUGAGACACGGUCCAGACUCCUACGGGAGGCAGCAGUGGGGAAUUUUGGACAAUGGGCGCAAGCCUGAUCCAGCCAUGCCGCGUGAGUGAAGAAGGCCUCGG